Musa acuminata AAA Group (dessert banana) is the source of this 1173-nucleotide long non-coding RNA. RefSeq lists it as uncharacterized. The transcript has 3 exons. NCBI's taxonomy places the organism in Eukaryota, Viridiplantae, Streptophyta, Magnoliopsida, Zingiberales, Musaceae. The record is from RefSeq and is a predicted model, not a curated record.
UGCACGGGGCCACAAGCUCAUGGACAGCGAGGUGUCGAGUGUCUGGGACUGCUGAUGGAGUCGGCCGGACGCGGCGCCAGGGAACAGCCACUUGGGAUGCUCGGGGGGAACGCUUGGGCUCCUGACGACGACUGACCGGGCGAUGGAGGAGUUGACGCCGACGGGUCCCGUGUCUUCCCUCCCCAUGGAAGCAGGCAGCUGCAGGCUGAGUAGGAUGAUGCACGGCGAGUAGGAGGAGAAUCUAUGGUGGAAGGCAAAGUCCAAGUGCUAAAGGGUGUGAAGGUUGCCUCAGGAGUUGUUUGGUGAAUGGGAGCAGGGCCAAAGCCACUUUUUAAAGGGAGAUAGGGGUGAGGGAGUAGACCAAGGAAGCAUGGAGGUAUGCAUUUGGAAGGGAGUUUUGAGAAGAAUAAGAUUAUGUGACUGGUUUGUCCUCUAUCACUUGCCCAGAUUGCAAUCUCUUAAUCACCUCCUGUUGUUCUAUUUUAUGGGGGGGCUUUGGAAGACAGCCUUUCCAGGUUCCUUCCAUCUCUUCCAAUUCUUGGGUAAUCUAUUCAUGCAUGCUUUUGACUACAGAAGCAAAAGCAUUAUUAACUUGGAUUUAAUGGAUUGCAUGUAUCGUCCCAGCAGAAGGCUGUGCUGCUGCUGUAGUUUCAAUCUCUUACGUCUGCAACUUUCUACUUUGUCGUGAGUCAUUUGGAUGGGAAGGGACUUCUGCUGGUCUGAAGGCAGUGACACUUAUGCUGCUGGUGCUGUUCUCUUGUCAUGCUUCGUUUUCCUUCUUGGAGUGAUACUGCCAUCUCCACAUCACCAUCCUUUUCCGCUUGUUCUGUGAAGUAGCCUUCAAUGGUCCUAUAGUUCCAUUUGCAGUGGCAUCAAUGUUAAAGAUGUGGAGUAUCUUCUCUAGAAUGAUGGAUUGAGAGCAAGCAACUAAGUGCAUGAUGAUAUGUAAAUAGAUCGCACCAACCUCAUCUAGUUUUUGGCUUAAGAUUAUACCAUACAACACUAUGUUUUUGGCAAUUUCAGAGAAGCUUAAUCUCAGUGAAGAAGAUGUUUCACAGUAAUUUGUUUCUCAUUAUUCUUUUUCUGUGGAUUCCACAUCUAUCUCUGCCUAAAAUCUGUUCCAAGACAUAUCUAUUGUACAUCCAAUUUGUACCUAUCUUGAUUUGUAUAUUU